RNAcentral lists this long non-coding RNA (458 nucleotides) under Arabidopsis thaliana (thale cress). RNAcentral's name for it is "long non-coding RNA (ATHA_LNC000640)". Lineage: Eukaryota; Viridiplantae; Streptophyta; Magnoliopsida; Brassicales; Brassicaceae. The record is from RNAcentral.
CGGCGGUGGCACGCUCGGCAUCGACACCGUACGAUCUAAUUCCGCCGUGUUGGACAUAACCUGGCAUAAUCUUCACAAAAUCUUUUCUCCGGUAAGUAAUUCCAGCUUUCCCGCUUACAAUGCUACUGAAUCUAGCUGUUCCCGCCGGUACAUCGUCUCCGUAUAAUCCGAUUAUGAUCCUCCCGAUUGGUUCGCCGUCGAUUGACACGUCGAUGAACGCUUUCUUAGUCGGAAUCUGGGGAAAAUUGGAAACAGAAAUCGAAUUAAUAAGGAGACAUUGAAAUUGAAAUCCAGUUUAUAAACAUUUUCCUUACUCUGUUUUCGCAAUUUGUGAGAUUAGGGUUAGCAAUUGUAUCUGCUUGAGCUUUAGAGAAGUCGAGCAAUGGCGUCAGAGUUGUUUGAGUGGUGAGGAGUAGAAGCAACGAGGAUUUACUAAGAUUCCGUCGCGAUAAUUUGCA